UACGGAGGGUGCAAGCGUUAAUCGGAAUUACUGGGCGUAAAGGGUAUGUAGGCGGUUGACUAAGUCAUGCGUGAAAGACCUGGGCUUAACCUGGGUUUGUCGUGUGAUACUGGUCGACUGGAAUUUGACAGAGGCAAGUGGAAUUUCCUGUGUAGCGGUGAAAUGCAUAGAUAUAGGAAAGAACACCAGUGGCGAAGGCGACUUGCUGGGUCAAAAUUGACGCUGAGGUACGAAAGCGUGGGUAGCGAACAGG
RNAcentral lists this ribosomal RNA (253 nucleotides) under uncultured bacterium. Its description in RNAcentral is "partial 16S ribosomal RNA". It matches the Rfam family "Bacterial small subunit ribosomal RNA", at positions 524 to 776 of the family's 1533-position model. The record is from RNAcentral.